Molecule: non-coding RNA, 73 nt
Organism: Dictyocaulus viviparus (bovine lungworm)
Lineage: Eukaryota; Metazoa; Nematoda; Chromadorea; Rhabditida; Metastrongylidae
Source: Rfam
GCACUUGUGGCCUAAUGGAUGAGGCGUCUGACUUCGGAUCGGAAGAUUGCAUAUUCGAGUCCUGCCAGGGGCG